ANACGGAUACAUACUCAGCGGCGAACGGGUGAGUAACACGUGGGUAAUCUUCCUCCGAGUCUGGGAUAACUUUCCGAAAGGGGAGCUAAUACUGGAUAAUCCCGAGAGGUCAUAGGAGCGUGCGGGUAAACAUUUAUUGCUCGUGAGAUGAGCCCGCGCCCUAUUAUCUAGUUGAGUGACGUAAUGGCUCUCCCCUGCGACAAUCGGUACCCGGACUGAGAGGAUGAUCAGCCACAAGGGAACUGAGACACCGCCCAUAAUCCUUGCGAAUGCACUUGUUUUGAAUGUUGCUCAAUGGCGGCAA
This 304-nucleotide ribosomal RNA is filed under the name Leptospira borgpetersenii. RNAcentral's name for it is "bacterial SSU rRNA". It matches the Rfam family "Bacterial small subunit ribosomal RNA", at positions 77 to 380 of the family's 1533-position model. The record is from RNAcentral. Lineage: Bacteria; Pseudomonadati; Spirochaetota; Leptospiria; Leptospirales; Leptospiraceae.